This 602-nucleotide ribosomal RNA is filed under the name uncultured bacterium. RNAcentral's name for it is "bacterial SSU rRNA". It matches the Rfam family "Bacterial small subunit ribosomal RNA", at positions 338 to 1414 of the family's 1533-position model. The record is from RNAcentral.
CCUACGGGAGGCAGCAGUGGGGAAUUUUCCGCAAUGGGCGCAAGCCUGACGGAGCAAGACCGCGUGAGGGAGGAAGGCUCUUGGGUUGUAAACCUCUUUUAUCAGGGAAGAAGAUCUGACGGUACCUGAUGAAUCAGCAUCGGCUAACUCCGUGCCAGCAGCCGCGGUAAUACGGAGGAUGCAAGCGUUAUCCGGAUUUAUUGGGCGUAAAGCGUCCGCAGGUGGUUAUUCAAGUCUGCUGUUAAAGCGCGAGGCUUAACUUCGUACAGGCAGUGGAAACUGGAUGACUGGAGUAUGGUAGGGGUAGCGGGAAUUCCCAGUGUAGCGGUGAAAUGCGUAGAUAUUGGGAAGAACACCAGCGGCGAAAGCGCGCUACUGGGCCAUUACUGACACUCAUGGACGAAAGCUAGGGGAGCGAAAGGGAUUAGAUACCCCUGUAGUCCUAGCUGUAAACGAUGGGUACUAGGUGUUGACCGUAUCGACCCGGUCAGUGCCGUAGCUAACGCGUUAAGUACCCCGCCUGGGGAGUAUGCACGCAGUGUGAACGUAAAGGUAAGUUAGACGGCGUGAGACGUGCCGACGGACGACGACGAGGGAGUAGG